Molecule: ribosomal RNA, 459 nt
Filed under: uncultured bacterium
Lineage: Bacteria
Description: bacterial SSU rRNA
Rfam family: Bacterial small subunit ribosomal RNA
Source: RNAcentral
AAUGAACGCUGGCGGCAUGCCUAACACAUGCAAGUCGAACGAAGGCUUCGGCCUUAGUGGCGCACGGGUGCGUAACGCGUGGGAAUCUGCCCUCAGGUUCGGAAUAACAGCGAGAAAUUGCUGCUAAUACCGGAUGAUAUCGCGAGAUCAAAGAUUUAUCGCCUGAGGAUGAGCCCGCGUAGGAUUAGCUAGUUGGUGUGGUAAAGGCGCACCAAGGCGACGAUCCUUAGCUGGUCUGAGAGGAUGAUCAGCCACACUGGGACUGAGACACGGCCCAGACUCCUACGGGAGGCAGCAGUGGGGAAUAUUGGACAAUGGGCGAAAGCCUGAUCCAGCAAUGCCGCGUGAGUGAUGAAGGCCUUAGGGUUGUAAAGCUCUUUUACCCGGGAUGAUAAUGACAGUACCGGGAGAAUAAGCUCCGGCUAACUCCGUGCCAGCAGCCGCGGUAAAGUCUGUACU